UGAUAUUUCCUGAAAACUUGCAAUUAUUAUAAAAUCAUUUUAAAACCCUGUGUUACUUAAGUCAAUAUGAAAUAUGUGAUGGUAGAGUAUGAGUUUCUUAUUCUUGAUAUCAUUGUUACUUGGAGAAUUUAUUUCAAAAUAUUCAAAAUUCUAGCUACCAUCCUCAGUGUUUUAUAUGCCUGAUAAAACUGAAAAUAUUAAUUAUGAUUAUAAAAGCUAUCUGCUCUGUAUUGAGUUUGUUCAAAAUGAGUUAGACCCUUGUUGAGAGAUUUAUCAUGCUCCCAAGAUCAAGACAUUAUUUCAGUAAGAUUCACUCUUCCGAAGUAUUAUUGCAUUAGAGGCAUGGGCUAUGCAAAAAUAGAGAUAUUUCGAGGAAAUAAAAAGGAGCAAGUGCUCGACAACCUCGCAGAAAAAAAAUGGACAAGUGUCCGGCAGUAGAAUUAGGGGUACCUCGGUAUCCACUUAAAAAAAAAGAAAGAUGAUAGCCCAUGGUCCCUCUAAUAAGCAAUAUGCCAGUAAGAGUUGACAAAGAUUUUAAUUUCCAAAGUCUUUGAUCUAAGAGUAUGACAUUCCCCUCCUCGGAUCCCGUUAUAAAUGCAAAGUAAGAAUGCUUGAGAAUUUUUGCAAAAUAAAACAGCC
RNAcentral lists this long non-coding RNA (639 nucleotides) under Sorghum bicolor (sorghum). Its description in RNAcentral is "long non-coding RNA (SBIC_LNC010905)". The record is from RNAcentral. Lineage: Eukaryota; Viridiplantae; Streptophyta; Magnoliopsida; Poales; Poaceae.